This 250-nucleotide ribosomal RNA is filed under the name uncultured bacterium. RNAcentral describes it as "partial 16S ribosomal RNA". It matches the Rfam family "Bacterial small subunit ribosomal RNA", at positions 524 to 772 of the family's 1533-position model. The record is from RNAcentral.
GACGUAGGGGGCGAGCGUUGUCCGGAUUUAUUGGGCGUAAAGAGCUCGUAGGCGGCUCAGAAAGUCGGGUGUGAAACCUCCAGGCUCAACCUGGAGACGCCACCUGAUACUGCUGUGGCUAGAGUCCGGUAGGGGAACACGGAAUACCCGGUGUAGCGGUGAAAUGCUUAGAUAUCGGGUGGAACACCAGUGGCGAAGGCGGUGUUCUGGGCCGGAACUGACGCUGAGGAGCGAAAGCGUGGGUAGCAAA